RNAcentral lists this ribosomal RNA (1414 nucleotides) under metagenome. RNAcentral describes it as "bacterial SSU rRNA". It matches the Rfam family "Bacterial small subunit ribosomal RNA". The record is from RNAcentral.
GGAUGAACGCUGGCGGCGUGCUUAACACAUGCCAGUCGAACGAACCUUCGGGUUAGUGGCGGACGGGUGAGUAACGCGUGGGAACCUGCCCUCAGGAGGGGGAUAACGGUUGGAAACGGCCGCUAAUACCCCAUAUGCCGAGAGGUGAAAUGAAUUUCGCCUGAGGAUGGGCCCGCGUCUGAUUAGCUAGUUGGUGGGGUAAGAGCCUACCAAGGCGACGAUCAGUAGCUGGUCUGAGAGGAUGAUCAGCCACACUGGGACUGAGACACGGCCCAGACUCCUACGGGAGGCAGCAGUGGGGAAUUUUCCGCAAUGGGCGAAAGCCUGACGGAGCAACGCCGCGUGAGGGAUGAAGGCCUCUGGGCUGUAAACCUCUUUUCUCAAGGAAGAAGACCUGACGGUACUUGAGGAAUAAGCCACGGCUAAUUCCGUGCCAGCAGCCGCGGUAAUACGGGAGUGGCAAGCGUUAUCCGGAAUUAUUGGGCGUAAAGCGUCCGCAGGUGGCCCUGUAAGUCUGUCGUUAAAGCGUGGAGCUUAACUCCAUUUAAGCGAUGGAAACUACAGGGCUAGAGUGUGGUAGGGGCAGAGGGAAUUCCCGGUGUAGCGGUGAAAUGCGUAGAUAUCGGGAAGAACACCAGUGGCGAAGGCGCUCUGCUGGGCCAUCACUGACACUCAUGGACGAAAGCCAGGGGAGCGAAAGGGAUUAGAUACCCCUGUAGUCCUGGCCGUAAACGAUGAACACUAGGUGUCGGGGGAAUCGACCCCCUCGGUGUCGUAGCCAACGCGUUAAGUGUUCCGCCUGGGGAGUACGCACGCAAGUGUGAAACUCAAAGGAAUUGACGGGGGCCCGCACAAGCGGUGGAGUAUGUGGUUUAAUUCGAUGCAACGCGAAGAACCUUACCAGGGUUUGACAUCCUGCGAAUCCCUUGGAAACGAGGGAGUGCCUUCGGGAGCGCAGAGACAGGUGGUGCAUGGCUGUCGUCAGCUCGUGUCGUGAGAUGUUGGGUUAAGUCCCGCAACGAGCGCAACCCACGUCGUUAGUUGCCAGCAUUCAGUUGGGCACUCUAGCGAGACCGCCGGUGAUAAACCGGAGGAAGGUGUGGAUGACGUCAAGUCAUCGUGCCCCUUACAUCCUGGGCUACACACGUACUACAAUGCUACGGACAAAGGGCAGCGAUCCCGCGAGGGCUAGCAAAUCCCAUAAACCGUGGCUCAGUUCAGAUCGUAGGCUGCAACUCGCCUACGUGAAGGAGGAAUCGCUAGUAAUCGCAGGUCAGCAUACUGCGGUGAAUACGUUCCCGGGCCUUGUACACACCGCCCGUCACACCAUGGAAGUUGGCCACGCCCGAAGUCGUUACUCCAACCCUUGUGGAGGAGGACGCCGAAGGUGGGGCUGAUGACUGGGGUGAAGUCG